Molecule: transfer RNA, 67 nt
Filed under: Heterocephalus glaber (naked mole-rat)
Lineage: Eukaryota; Metazoa; Chordata; Mammalia; Rodentia; Bathyergidae
Rfam family: tRNA
About the family: Transfer RNA (tRNA) molecules are approximately 80 nucleotides in length.
Source: Rfam by way of RNAcentral
GGGACAUAGCUCAGUGGUAGAGUGUGUGCUUGGCACGCACAAGGCCCUGGGUUCUAUCCCAAGCCCA